Molecule: ribosomal RNA, 440 nt
Filed under: uncultured bacterium
Lineage: Bacteria
Description: partial 16S ribosomal RNA
Rfam family: Bacterial small subunit ribosomal RNA
Source: RNAcentral
CCUACGGGUGGCAGCAGUGGGGAAUAUUGCGCAAUGGGGGAAACCCUGACGCAGCAACGCCGCGUGGAGGAAGAAGGUCUUCGGAUUGUAAACUCCUGUCUUCUGGGACGAUAAUGACGGUACCAGAGGAGGAAGCCACGGCUAACUACGUGCCAGCAGCCGCGGUAAUACGUAGGUGGCGAGCGUUGUCCGGAAUUAUUGGGCGUAAAGGGCGCGUAGGCGGCUCUUUAAGUCAGAUGUGAAAACCCAGGGCUUAACUGUGGGAGUGCAUUUGAAACUGAAGGGCUCGAGUGCAGGAGAGGUAAGUGGAAUUCCUAGUGUAGCGGUGAAAUGCGUAGAUAUUAGGAGGAACACCAGUGGCGAAGGCGACUUACUGGACUGUAACUGACGCUGAGGCGCGAAAGCGUGGGGAGCAAACAGGAUUAGAUACCCCUGUAGUC